AUAUUAGCUCAGUUGGUAGAGCACUAGACUUUUAAUCUAGGUGUCCGGGGUUCGAACCCCC
Molecule: transfer RNA, 61 nt
Filed under: uncultured Catenibacillus sp.
Lineage: Bacteria; Bacillati; Bacillota; Clostridia; Lachnospirales; Lachnospiraceae
Rfam family: tRNA
About the family: Transfer RNA (tRNA) molecules are approximately 80 nucleotides in length. Their secondary structure includes four short double-helical elements and three loops (D, anti-codon, and T loops). Further hydrogen bonds mediate the characteristic L-shaped molecular structure. tRNAs have two regions of fundamental functional importance: the anti-codon, which is responsible for specific mRNA codon recognition, and the 3' end, to which the tRNAs corresponding amino acid is attached (by aminoacyl-tRNA synthetases). tRNAs cope with the degeneracy of the genetic code in two manners: having more than one tRNA (with a specific anti-codon) for a particular amino acid; and 'wobble' base-pairing, i.e. permitting non-standard base-pairing at the 3rd anti-codon position.
Source: RNAcentral